AGCGAACGCUGGCGGCAGGCUUAACACAUGCAAGUCGAACGCAUCCUUCGGGGUUAGUGGCAGACGGGUGAGUAACACGUGGGAACGUACCCUUCGAUCUGGGAUAACUUCGGGAAACUGGAGCUAAUACCGGAUACGCCCUUUUGGGGAAAGGUUUACUGUCGAAGGAUCGGCCCGCGUCUGAUUAGCUAGUUGGUGGGGUAACGGCCUACCAAGGCGACGAUCAGUAGCUGGUCUGAGAGGAUGAUCAGCCACACUGGGACUGAGACACGGCCCAGACUCCUACGGGAGGCAGCAGUGGGGAAUAUUGGACAAGGGGCGCAAGCCUGAUCCAGCCAUGCCGCGUGAGUGAUGAAGGCCUUAGGGUUGUAAAGCUCUUUUGUCCGGGACGAUAAUGACGGUACCGGAAGAAUAAGCCCCGGCUAACUUCGUG
Molecule: ribosomal RNA, 433 nt
Filed under: uncultured bacterium
Lineage: Bacteria
Description: partial 16S ribosomal RNA
Rfam family: Bacterial small subunit ribosomal RNA
Source: RNAcentral